GAUGAACGCUAGCUACAGACUUAACACAUGCAAGUCGAGGGGAAACGAUAUUGGAAGCUUGCUUCUGAUAGGCGUCGACCGGCGCACGGGUGAGUAACGCGUAUCCAACCUUCCGUACACUCAGGGAUAGCCUUUCGAAAGAAAGAUUAAUACCUGAUGGUAUGAUGAGAUUGCAUGAUAGCAUCAUUAAAGAUUUAUCGGUGUACGAUGGGGAUGCGUUCCAUUAGGUAGUAGGCGGGGUAACGGCCCACCUAGCCGACGAUGGAUAGGGGUUCUGAGAGGAAGGUCCCCCACAUUGGAACUGAGACACGGUCCAAACUCCUACGGGAGGCAGCAGUGAGGAAUAUUGGUCAAUGGACGAGAGUCUGAACCAGCCAAGUAGCGUGAAGGAUGAAGGUCCUACGGAUUGUAAAACUUCUUUUAAUAAGGGAAUAAACCCUCCCACGUGUGGGAGCUUGUAUGUACCUUAUGAAUAAGCAUCGGCUAACUCCGUGCCAGCAGCCG
Molecule: ribosomal RNA, 504 nt
Filed under: uncultured bacterium
Lineage: Bacteria
Description: bacterial SSU rRNA
Rfam family: Bacterial small subunit ribosomal RNA
Source: RNAcentral